UACGUAGGGGGCAAGCGUUAUCCGGAAUUACUGGGUGUAAAGGGAGCGUAGACGGUAAUGUAAGUCUGGAGUGAAAGGCGGGGGCCCAACCCCGGGACUGCUCUGGAAACUAUGUUACUAGAGUGCAGGAGAGGUAAGCGGAAUUCCUAGUGUAGCGGUGAAAUGCGUAGAUAUUAGGAGGAACACCAGUGGCGAAAGCGGCUCUCUGGUCUGUAACUGACGCUGAGGUUCGAAAGCGUGGGUAGCAAACAGG
Molecule: ribosomal RNA, 253 nt
Filed under: uncultured bacterium
Lineage: Bacteria
Description: partial 16S ribosomal RNA
Rfam family: Bacterial small subunit ribosomal RNA
Source: RNAcentral